UACGGAAGGGGCAAGCGUUGUCCGGAAUCAUUGGGCGUAAAGCGCGUGUAGGCGGUCUGGUAAGUCGGUUGUGAAAGUCCAGGGCUCAACCCUGGGAUGCCGACCGAUACUGUCGGACUAGAGUUCGGAAGAGGCGAGUGGAAUUCCCGGUGUAGCGGUGAAAUGCGCAGAUAUCGGGAGGAACACCAAUGGCGAAGGCAGCUCGCUGGGACGUUACUGACGCUGAGACGCGAAAGCGUGGGGAGCAAACAGG
Molecule: ribosomal RNA, 253 nt
Filed under: uncultured bacterium
Lineage: Bacteria
Description: partial 16S ribosomal RNA
Rfam family: Bacterial small subunit ribosomal RNA
Source: RNAcentral